UACGUAGGCGGAAAAUUAAGUCAGUAGUGAAAUCCUGCAGCUUAACUGUAGAACUGUUAUUGAUACUGGUUUUCUUGAAUAUAGUUGAGGUAGGCGGAAUGUGUAAUGUAACGGUGAAAUGCUUAGAUAUUACACAGAACACCGAUUGCGAAGGCAGCUUACUAAGCUAUGAUUGACGCCGAGGUACGAAAGCGUGGGGAGCGAACAGGAUUAGAUACCCUGGUAGUCC
Molecule: ribosomal RNA, 229 nt
Filed under: uncultured bacterium
Lineage: Bacteria
Description: partial 16S ribosomal RNA
Rfam family: Bacterial small subunit ribosomal RNA
Source: RNAcentral